GACACUUUUUGUCUUUCAAAUUACAUACACAUACUAAGACACUUGCUGCUAGAAGCACACUUCUUAUUUGUGCAAUGUCCUACAUACCCUCUAAUUAACUACACUUUCUCCUAACACUAACUACUUUCCCAACUAUAAAAGUUUUAUUUUUUUCUUUUAAAAAUAAAUCGAUAAAGCAAACAUUUUUUCAGUUUUCAAAACAGAACUUUUAUUCUUUCUACAUCUUUAUUUCGAAAUUCAGAUUCGCUUUCCUAUUUCUCUCCUAACCCUAAUUCCACGAACCCUCUUCUCCUUCAUCUUUAAUUUUGUAAUCUUCAUGAUUUCAGAGGUCUCGCCGCGAGUUUGAUUUCUCUCCUAACCUUAAUCCGCUCUCAUCACCUUUAUCAUGCUCUCAUCGUCGUCCAUUUCCAUCGCUCUGUGUAAUGAUGACGAAACCCAAAUCAAAGAAGAAAGUGAAGAUAACUAAGCACUUUUUUUUUUUUUUUAAAUCUCAGGUAUGUGGAUCAGUUCUCAAGGUGUCUCCAUGUUGAGUACAAGAAAAGUGGGAUUGAUGUUCAAUGCCAGGUGAACUUUCCUGAACCAUUGCUGCUUUGUUUUGCUGCGUCUUUGUGUUGAUUUUGGCUUGUGAUCAUAGAUUCAUAGGUUAAGUUACCAAGAAUAGUAGUUCCUGGCUUCAUAUGUUCCCCUUUGGAAAAUAAUGAAGUAGUUAUUUAAGUUUUUGUCUGACAAUUUUUUUAAUGUGUAAAACGUAGUUUCUUUAAUCCAUUGAAAAGACGUUAUGCUGUAUCUUUCAUGGUUUCCUGACACUGUUUAAUGGACCUAGAAGGUUGAUGAUUUUUGUUUCAAAAGCUUAUUUUAGUGUUUUUUUCGAUUGAGGAACUAUUGCAUCCCAUUUCUCUUUGCUGAAUGAAUACUUCUGUGAUGUGAGAUCUCGUUUCUGAUGCCUGUUUAUGUUAUAGAGUGUCAAAACUAGAAAACUAUGGAAUAUGUAUCAUAUGGAAGAGCAUCAUUAACCCUAGCAACUCACAUUAGGGGUGCUUAAAUUUUUUUUUUUUUAGUUUUUUUCUUUCUGACUAAAAAAAAAAUUAAAAAAGAACCAAUUGCGGGCCGCCACGUGUCGGUGGGGCCCGCAAUCAGAAAAACAAUGACGCUUAAAGAAGCAUCAGAAGCGCCGCUGCUUCUUAUUCUUCUCUUUCCUUUUUUUUUUUAAUUAAAAAACUGUUAACCACUCCUUAAGCAACCAUGGAUAAUCGUGGUCUAACUGUAUAGCUCACUGUGUAGUUGUCUGUUACCAAAUCAAUUUAAUGGGUAACGCUGCCCAAUAGCCUUUUUGGUUUCUUGAUUAUAUAUGGGUGAGUGUUUUUAUAGGUACCCUUGUAUGUUGCUACAAAGAUGACCAAGAUAAGAAGGGCAUCUUUCUUAGUUGCAUCUCCAGAGGGUUACGCAAAGGCAGCACUGCGUUUUGUAGGCUAUGAACCACGUUGCACACCUUACUGGCCUCACGCCCUCAUGGGUUAUGUUGUCUCUGCAUUGCCCGAAAGCGUUUUUGAAUCCUUUAACAUUAAGAGGUGUCUCCAGAUCCGGAAGAAGGGCAUGCUUAAGGACUCCAUUAGUAAAAAGGAGUAAAACUUUUGUGGGGUUAAGUUACUGCAAUAUCUUCUUAUGCAGUUGGUUCCUCGUAAAGUUUAUGUUUUAAAUCUUUGUAAGACUUUUAUGCUUUAGUUUCCAUGUUCCCAAUUUAUUUUUAAAACUAAAAACCUUAACGUGCACGAAUCGUCGAUAUCCUGCCUGUUUUUUUUUUAAUUUAAAUAAAAUUGAAUGUUGAUAAAAUGAAGAAAUUUUUACUUUCUAGGACACUUUUUGUCUUUCAAAUUACAUACACAUACUAAGACACUUGCUGCUAGAAGCACACUUCUUAUUUGUGCAAUGUCCUACAUACCCUCUAAUUAACUACACUUUCUCCUAACACUAACUACUUUCCCAACUAUAAAAGUUUUAUUUUUUUCUUUUAAAAAUAAAUCGAUAAAGCAAACAUUUUUUCAGUUUUCAAAACAGAACUUUUAUUCUUUCUACAUCUUUAUUUCGAAAUUCAGAUUCGCUUUCCUAUUUCUCUCCUAACCCUAAUUCCACGAACCCUCUUCUCCUUCAUCUUUAAUUUUGUAAUCUUCAUGAUUUCAGAGGUCUCGCCGCGAGUUUGAUUUCUCUCCUAACCUUAAUCCGCUCUCAUCACCUUUAGCAUGCUCUCAUCGUCGUCCAUUUCCAUCGCUCUGUGUAAUGAUGACGAAACCAAAAUCAAAGAAGAAAGUGAAGAUAACUAAGCAACCAUCCCCACCAGAAAAUGAUAUCAGAGGUUUUGUUCUCACAUCGGACGUAACAGCAGAGAAGGGGUUGAAACGGAGAGGUUCGUGGAGCUAAUGAUGUCGUCCGGUUUGAUCUGCUAUGAGUCGGUGUGGUGGGUUACUCUCGAAAGAGAAAGAGCAACAAUGGCAAAAUUUUACUUUUUGCAACUGUGGUCCUUCAUGUUUUGGUUAUUCACGCUUUCACCCCAAAAUUCUUCAAAUGUGUUUUAUGCUUCUCUUGAUCUAGCCACAAACUUUUAAUUGUAUAAUCCAGACCCUUUCAAAUGUAAAUAAACAUGUAUAUAUAUAUCCAAAUUUUAUGUCCAUGUCCACGUCCUUUAAUUGUAUAAUCCAGACAAGAGAGCAAGAGCAAAAAUGUC
This 2719-nucleotide long non-coding RNA is filed under the name Brassica napus (rape). RNAcentral describes it as "long non-coding RNA (BNAP_LNC010967)". Lineage: Eukaryota; Viridiplantae; Streptophyta; Magnoliopsida; Brassicales; Brassicaceae. The record is from RNAcentral.